AUGGCGGAAGGCUUCCGAAGACCCGAACCUCUAGUGUUUGAUGGCAACAUUAGUGAGAACUGGCGCGUAUUCGAGCAAGAAUACAAUAUAUUUAUAGCAGCUGCUCACUCAGACAAAGAUGCCAAGACGCAGGCAUUUAUUCUCCUUAACUUGGCCGGCUCAGAAGCCAUCGAGCGGGAGCGCGCAUUUGUGUAUGCACCAGCCGUGUAUGCGGGGGAAGGAGAGCAACGAUGGAUGAUCGCGGAGGCUGAAACCAGAGAGAACCCGGAAUGUAUCAAACGGAAAUUCCGUGAGUUAUGCAACCCACAAACAAAUUUAACUAUGGAACGCCACAAAUUCAAUAUGAGAAACCAAAAACCCAGUGAAACCAUAGAAGCAUACGUGAGUGAUUUAAGGAACAAAGCAAAGACGUGCAGAUUUGGUGAUCUAACAGAUGAACUCAUAAGAGACAGACUCAUGUGUGGCGUGACCAAUGAUGGUAUGAGAAAAAUUCUAUUGAGAGACAGUGAGUUAACACUAGCCAAAGCAAUAGAAUUGUGUCAAAUCCACGAACUAACAGAUCUGCACACAAAGACUCUUGCAACGCCUAAAAGCAACACUAACGUGGACAGUGUGUACCACAAGACAAAGACUAAAAUUACACAAGGAUUUAAACAAAGAUCCAACUCUGAUCGCACAAGCUCUCAGAUAAUAAAUUGUAAUAGUUGUGGAGGUAAGCAUGAAGCAAAAAAGGAAAAAUGCUUAGCUUAUGGUCAACAGUGCCACAAAUGUAAAAAAUGGAAUCAUUUCAAGAAGUGCUGUAAAAUGACACCGAAGUACAUGCCGAAUAGACGGAGAAGAGCCGUAGACCAGCUCAAACCAAAAGAAACUUCCACAGAUAGCGCAGAUGAAUCCUACUAUGUGGAUGGGGUGUCACUCGAAAAAGGUGCUGUACGAACUGAGGAAAAGAAAACCCCUCAAAAGACUGAGCUAAUAAGCACUGUGCACAUCAAUGGACAUUCAGUUGAUUUUAAAGUAGACACAGGAGCCAAAUGUAAUGUCAUUUCUGAGGAUUUGUUCAUGAAAAUAAAAAAUGGAGAGGAUUUAAGCUCAUCGAAGAAGACCAUGCUCAUAGCCUAUGGAGGUGAGGAGAUACCCACAGCAGGCUUUGUUACUUUCAUCUGCCACUUAUCAGAAAGGGCAUACAACCUCUCGUUUUACGUGAUAAAAAGAAACGUGCAACCAUUGAUAGGUCUGCCAGACUGCUUACAAAUGGAACUGAUCUCGUUCAACAAAGAAAUUCAUCAUGUGACAGCAGAUGAGGUUUCAUGCUUUGCAAGCAAAAUUCAUUCUGAAUAUUCAGACCUCUUCAAGGAUGAGAUUGGUAAACUUCCAGUAACAUAUUCAAUGAGAUUGAACCCAGCAGUUCACCCAGUUGUAAAACCUGCACGCAAAAUCCCAGCAGCCAUGCAGGGCAGGGUCGAAGCAGAAUUACGAAGAAUGGUUAAUAUGGGCGUUCUUACCCCAGUCUCAGAGCCCACCGAAUGGGUAUCAUCAAUGGUGGCAACCCACAAAAAGAAUUCAGAGGAGAUAAGACUAUGCAUUGACCCAAAAGACCUUAAUAAGGCCCUCCUACGUCCGCACCACCCCAUGCAUACAGUAGAAGAAGUUGCAUCUAAAAUGCCGGAUUCCUCUGUCUUUUCCGUUUUGGAUGCCAAAAGCUCAUUCUGGCAAAUUUCUCUUGAUGAAAAAUCAUCAAUGUUGACAACGUUCAACUCCCCAUUUGGGAGAUACUGA
Molecule: long non-coding RNA, 1776 nt
Organism: Cyprinus carpio (common carp)
Lineage: Eukaryota; Metazoa; Chordata; Actinopteri; Cypriniformes; Cyprinidae
Source: Ensembl